This 492-nucleotide ribosomal RNA is filed under the name uncultured bacterium. RNAcentral's name for it is "partial 16S ribosomal RNA". It matches the Rfam family "Bacterial small subunit ribosomal RNA", at positions 38 to 507 of the family's 1533-position model. The record is from RNAcentral.
GGGGGGGGGGGGGGGGGGGGGGGGGGGGGGGGGGGCGGGGGGGGGCGCGGGAGGGGGUGGGGGGGGGGGGGGGGGGGGGGCGGACGGGGGAGGAAGAGAUCGGGAUCUACUGGUUCGUGGGGGAUAACGUAGGGGAACUUACGCUAAUACCGCAUACGACCUACGGGUGAAAGCAGGGGAUCUUCGGACCUUGCGCGAUUGAAUGAGCCGAUGUCGGAUUAGCUAGUUGGCGGGGUAAAGGCCCACCCAGGCGACGCUCCGUAGCUGGUCUGAGAGGAUGAUCAGCCACACUGGAACUGAGACACGGUCCAGACUCCUACGGGAGGCAGCAGUGGGGAAUAUUGGACAAUGGGCGCAAGCCUGAUCCAGCCAUACCGCGUGGGUGAAGAAGGCCUUCGGGUUGUAAAGCCCUUUUGUUGGGAAAGAAAAGCAGCAGGUUAAUACCCCGCUGUUCUGACGGUACCCAAAGAAUAAGCACCGGCUAACUUCGUG